Non-coding RNA from Pelobates cultripes (western spadefoot toad), 167 nucleotides. The record is from the annotation of a GenBank genome assembly. NCBI's taxonomy places the organism in Eukaryota, Metazoa, Chordata, Amphibia, Anura, Pelobatidae.
AAGAAACUGCAAUGUUUACAGGCAGCAGACCCUCCCUCCCAGACCCUCCCACCUCCUGGACAGCAUCCGUUUUACAUUCAUUGUGAAGCUGCAUUCUUAGUGAGCUGUCCAGGAGGUGGGAGGGUCUGGGAGGGAGGGUCUGCUGCUAUGUAAACAUUGCAGUUUCU